UACGGAGGGUGCAAGCGUUAUCCGGAUUCACUGGGUUUAAAGGGUGCGUAGGUGGGCAGGUAAGUCAGUGGUGAAAUCUCCGGGCUUAACCCGGAAACUGCCAUUGAUACUAUCUGUCUUGAAUAUGGUGGAGGUAAGCGGAAUAUGUCAUGUAGCGGUGAAAUGCUUAGAUAUGACAUAGAACACCAAUUGCGAAGGCAGCUUACUACCCGAAUAUUGACACUGAGGCACGAAAGCGUGGGGAUCAAACAGG
Molecule: ribosomal RNA, 253 nt
Filed under: uncultured bacterium
Lineage: Bacteria
Description: partial 16S ribosomal RNA
Rfam family: Bacterial small subunit ribosomal RNA
Source: RNAcentral